This 253-nucleotide ribosomal RNA is filed under the name uncultured bacterium. Its description in RNAcentral is "partial 16S ribosomal RNA". It matches the Rfam family "Bacterial small subunit ribosomal RNA", at positions 524 to 776 of the family's 1533-position model. The record is from RNAcentral.
UACGUAGGGUGCGAGCGUUAAUCGGAAUUACUGGGCGUAAAGUGUGCGCAGGCGGCCAUGCAAGUCGAGUGUGAAAGCCCCGGGCUUAACUUGGGAAUUGCGCUCGAAACUACGUGGCUGGAGUGUGGCAGAGGAAGGUGGAAUUCCACGUGUAGCGGUGAAAUGCGUAGAGAUGUGGAGGAACACCGAUGGCGAAGGCAGCCUCCUGGGCCAACACUGACGCUCAUGCACGAAAGCGUGGGGAGCAAACAGG